AUGCAUCCCAGCAACACUCCCCUAGUUCUCUGCAGGGCCAUUGAGGACAGUCACAAGGGCCCUUUGCUUUUAAUGUGGGCCAUCUGCUUCCUCUCCAAAAUGCCUACCUUUUCAAAGCCCCCACAGCCUCGUGGGCAUCCUCGCACGGUUCUCCAGGCUGCACUACCUCCACGCGCUCUGCACAACAUCGCCACGGUUGACGGAACUUCAGACCCGACUGUAUUCUGACUGAUCAAAUGCAAUUAACCCCGAUGAAAGUUUCCCCAAAUCAAGUUUUAUCUGAAUACUUUUUGAGUUUCUGUUUGUGCGUGCCUCCGUCAGGCAUCAGUUCAACGCGAUACAGUCUGUUCGUCGAUAUGACAUGAGGCCGUUAUCAUAACCCCAGUUAUCAGACACAUCUGAUCUUUACACAAUGUGUCAGCUGCUGUUUUGGUGAGCAGUAAUUAAAUUAUUUUCUAACAAAGACACCAAACAUCAUGAUCUCCAGGUUCCCAGCGUUUCAGAAUGCGUUGGUUUCAGUAGAUCCUAGUGUUUUUUGGAUUAUAUAAGACAUUUGGUCAAUUCAUUCAUUGGUAAAUGAAGGAAAUCGCCAACGAGAUGAUCUGAUGCAACGUUGUAGGUAAAAUAUUAACAAGCAGCAACGCUUCAGUGUCGGCGCCCGCUUCAGUUUCAACAAGUCAUGAAACCUCCAACUCAAACAAAAUGGCACAUGAACAGCAAUCAGUGUAAACUUAAUUAAGAUAGUCUAAAAUUAAAAGACCACAGAAAAAAAAAAGUGUGGCAAUAAUUUGAGCUUUAAGCCGCGCGGCUCUGAAGCCGAGGCUCGUGAUUUACUUUGUCUCGUGCAAAACACUGCCUUAAAGCUGUUUUGAAAACCAACAAUGACAUGAUCCAGGCUUAAAGCUUUAAUGAAAAGAAUGUAAUUGUUCCAGCGUGUGUGUUUGUGUGUGUGUGUGUGUUUGUACGCGUGGAACAAUAAAAUAAAACAGGAGGACGAGAUGCUGUGAUAA
This 1010-nucleotide long non-coding RNA is filed under the name Betta splendens (Siamese fighting fish). Its description in RNAcentral is "lncRNA (ENSBSLG00000003496.1)". Lineage: Eukaryota; Metazoa; Chordata; Actinopteri; Anabantiformes; Osphronemidae. The record is from RNAcentral.